AUGUCGCGACUAGCGAAGUUGAACUUAAUCCCUAGUUUCACCACUGUCAAGGGAUCUAAGUGUCAAGUGUGUGUGCAAGCUAAGCAACCUCGUAAGUCUCACACGACUGCGGAAACGAGAAAUCUUGCACCACUCGAGCUCAUACAUUCAGAUCUAUGUGAAAUGAAUGGUGUUUUGACAAAAGGUGGAAAGAAAUAUUUCAUGACAUUAAUUGACGACUCCACUAGAUAUUGCCGUGUGUAUCUUCUGAAAUCUAAGGAUGAGGCUUUGAACUUUUUCAAGAUCUAUAAAGCUGAAGUGGAAAACCAACUUGAUCAAAAAAUCAAGAGGCUUAGGUCCGACCGUGGUGGAGAGUAUUUUUCCAAUGAAUUUGAUGCUUUUUGUGCGGAACAUGGUAUAAUCCAUGAGAGGACGCCUCCCUACUCACCUCAGUCAAAUGGGGUGGCCGAAAGAAAGAACCGUACUCUAACUGAUUUGGUUAACGCCAUGUUAGACACAUCGGGUCUCUCCAAGGCAUGGUGGGGGGAGGCGAUAUUGACGGCAUGUCAUUGUCCUAAACAAAGAGAUAACUCCAUUCGAGGAAUGGGAGAAGAAAAGGUUAAAACUCUCUUAUCUGCGAACAUGGGGUUGUUUGGCGAAAGUCAAUGUUCCAAUUCCAAAGAAGCGGAAGCUUGGACCAAAGACUGUGGAUUGUGUUUUCCUGGGAUAUGCUUUUCAUAG
RNAcentral lists this ribosomal RNA (720 nucleotides) under Triticum aestivum (bread wheat). RNAcentral's name for it is "partial small subunit ribosomal RNA". The record is from RNAcentral. Lineage: Eukaryota; Viridiplantae; Streptophyta; Magnoliopsida; Poales; Poaceae.